GGUUUUGUUUCUGGGAGCUCACGAAGCAACUUCCCAGGGUGGUCACCCAUCCUGGGAUUGCUCCAGCCUCCCACUCGCUUAACUUCGGAGUUCUUACAACUCCGAAGCCAGUGAGCUCCCAAAAGGCCUCGUGCUAGAUGGAUGCGGGUGUGCACAUAUAAGGCACAUCACCCCCUCUCCGUUUGGUUUGAUGUGGGAUCUUACAAUCCACCCCCCUUAAGGGUCCGACGUCCUCGUCGGCACACUCGCACCACACGGCAGAGUGGCUCUGAUACCAAAUUGUCACACCCCGGACCGGCUCCGCCGUAGCACGAUAUUGUCCGCUUUGGGCCCUCCUCUCACUGCCCGCACGGUUUUGUUUCUGGGAGCUCACGAAGCAACUUCCCAGGGUGGUCACCCAUCCUGGGAUUGCUCCAGCCUCCCACUCGCUUAACUUCGGAGUUCUUACAACUCCGAAGCCAGUGAGCUCCCAAAAGGCCUCGUGCUAGAUGGAUGCGGGUGUGCACAUAUAAGGCAC
Molecule: long non-coding RNA, 517 nt
Filed under: Prunus persica (peach)
Lineage: Eukaryota; Viridiplantae; Streptophyta; Magnoliopsida; Rosales; Rosaceae
Description: long non-coding RNA (PPER_LNC004443)
Source: RNAcentral